UACGGAAGGUCCGGGCGUUAUCCGGAUUUAUUGGGUUUAAAGGGUGCGUAGGCGGACUGUUAAGUCAGCGGUAAAAUGUCCGGGCUCAACCCGGGCCGGCCGUUGAAACUGGGGAUCUUGAGUGGGCGAGAAGUAUGCGGAAUGCGUGGUGUAGCGGUGAAAUGCAUAGAUAUCACGCAGAACUCCGAUUGCGAAGGCAGCUUACCGGCGCUCAACUGACGCUGAGGCACGAAAGUGCGGGUAUCGAAUAGG
RNAcentral lists this ribosomal RNA (252 nucleotides) under uncultured Bacteroidales bacterium. RNAcentral describes it as "partial 16S ribosomal RNA". It matches the Rfam family "Bacterial small subunit ribosomal RNA", at positions 524 to 776 of the family's 1533-position model. The record is from RNAcentral. Lineage: Bacteria; Pseudomonadati; Bacteroidota; Bacteroidia; Bacteroidales.